AUGAACGCUGGCGGCGUGCCUAAUACAUGCAAGUCGAGCGAACAGACGAGGAGCUUGCUCCUCUGACGUUAGCGGCGGACGGGGGAGUAACACGUGGAUAACCUACCUAUAAGACUGGGAUAACUUCGGGAAACCGGAGCUAAUACCGGAUAAUAUAUUGAACCGCAUGGUUCAAUAGUGAAAGACGGUUUUGCUGUCACUUAUAGAUGGAUCCGCGCCGCAUUAGCUAGUUGGUAAGGUAACGGCUUACCAAGGCAACGAUGCGUAGCCGACCUGAGAGGGUGAUCGGCCACACUGGAACUGAGACACGGUCCAGACUCCUACGGGAGGCAUCAGUAGGGAAUCUUCCGCAAUGGGCGAAAGCCUGACGGAGCAACGCCGCGUGAGUGAUGAAGGUCUUCGGAUCGUAAAACUCUGUUAUUAGGGAAGAACAAAUGUGUAAGUAACUAUGCACGUCUUGACGGUACCUAAUCAGAAAGCCACGGCUAACUACGUG
This 496-nucleotide ribosomal RNA is filed under the name uncultured bacterium. RNAcentral's name for it is "partial 16S ribosomal RNA". It matches the Rfam family "Bacterial small subunit ribosomal RNA", at positions 29 to 507 of the family's 1533-position model. The record is from RNAcentral.